RNAcentral lists this long non-coding RNA (681 nucleotides) under Anas platyrhynchos platyrhynchos (common mallard). RNAcentral describes it as "lncRNA (ENSAPLG00000026997.1)". Lineage: Eukaryota; Metazoa; Chordata; Aves; Anseriformes; Anatidae. The record is from RNAcentral.
GAUUUUUUUUUUUUCAUUUAUUAAGUAAGUAAUUCAUUUCAUGUUGCCUUUUUAAACAUAAUUGAUAUGACUCUCAGUUAUUUUUCAGUUUUCUUUUUCCAAGGGGAUUUGGUUCUGACUUGCCUUUUGGCCUCCAAAAGGAUCGUUGGCUGUAGAAAUUGUGGCUUUCGUUCAAUUCAAAUGUUUUAAAAGCUUGUACCCUUCUUUUUAGCACAACCCUAUAUCUUGUAUGUUGAGGCCCAAGAGCUGCACAAGUUUGAGUGCUGAGCCCUAACUGCACCUUGCCUGCUAUAUGGGGACCUGCCACUCUGUGCUGAUGGACACCAGUCUUUAUAGCCACAGCUUAGUGUUCAGUGAAGCCCCUGCUUUUUGGAGGCAGGGAUCAGGCCUGUGGCUGCCUGCAUUGGGAGCUACGGAGCUUGCUGUGCCUUGGCUGCUGGGUAGGUCUUUUCUACAGCUCAGGAGGAGGAUAAACAAGAAAUGCAUCCAUUAAGAGCCUGGUUUGUCUCACCAGCUCAAGGUAAGUCCAUUAGGGUGACAAUAUUUAAAUAUCUUAAAAUAUCUGUUCAUCUGGUUAAAUGUGGAUGGCACGCGGGAUCUGAACGUUAAUGCUAACUUUCUUCCUGGGCUGAUUUCAAGGCUAUCAUUAAAAUAAAAUGCUGCUGCCUGUUAAUUUGACCA